CCUACGGGGGGCUGCAGUGGGGAAUAUUGGACAAUGGGCGAAAGCCUGAUCCAGCCAUGCCGCGUGUGUGAAGAAGGCCUUCGGGUUGUAAAGCACUUUCAGUGGGGAAGAAAGCCUUGGGGCUAAUACCCUCGAGGAAGGACAUCACCCACAGAAGAAGCACCGGCUAACUCCGUGCCAGCAGCCGCGGUAAUACGGAGGGUGCGAGCGUUAAUCGGAAUUACUGGGCGUAAAGCGCGCGUAGGCGGUCUGAUAAGCCGGUUGUGAAAGCCCCGGGCUCAACCUGGGAACGGCAUCCGGACUGGCCAGCCAGGGUUCCAGAGAGGGAGGUAGAAUUCCCGGUGGUGCGGUGAAAUGCGUAGAGAUCGGGAGGAAUACCAGUGGCGAAGGCGGCCUUCUGGACUGACACUGACGCUGAGGUGCGAAAGCGUGGGUAGCAAACAGGAUUAGAUACCCCAGUAGUC
RNAcentral lists this ribosomal RNA (464 nucleotides) under Vreelandella stevensii. Its description in RNAcentral is "partial 16S ribosomal RNA". It matches the Rfam family "Bacterial small subunit ribosomal RNA", at positions 338 to 795 of the family's 1533-position model. The record is from RNAcentral. Lineage: Bacteria; Pseudomonadati; Pseudomonadota; Gammaproteobacteria; Oceanospirillales; Halomonadaceae.